UUGUUUUGGCAGCACAUAUACUAAAACUGGAAUGAUACAGGGAUUAGCAUGGCCCCUGUGCAAGGAUGGCAUGCAAAUUUGUGAAGCAGUCCAUAUUUAA
RNAcentral lists this small nuclear RNA (100 nucleotides) under Neogale vison (American mink). The record is from RNAcentral. Lineage: Eukaryota; Metazoa; Chordata; Mammalia; Carnivora; Mustelidae.